This 443-nucleotide long non-coding RNA is filed under the name Linum usitatissimum (flax). Its description in RNAcentral is "long non-coding RNA (LUSI_LNC001577)". Lineage: Eukaryota; Viridiplantae; Streptophyta; Magnoliopsida; Malpighiales; Linaceae. The record is from RNAcentral.
AACUGCUUGUUGCAACCGACUGAGACUUUGUUAGCACGAACAAUUCAUCAACUCGGUCACAAAUCACCACAUCCCACGUUAGGACAUAAUACCUAUUAAUCUCUUGGGAAGUCCAGAAAUUCGUAGACUGAACACUCAGUUUCUACAAGCAACAGUUGUAACACUCUAAAUCCAGCUUCUAAAGAUGUAAACAGGGGACUAGCCAAAAUUAUAUGAGCAUUAUCAUGUUUUUCCGCCAACAGCACAUAAACCAGUAAUGCCGAAUUGCACCCACAAACCUAACAAAUCUUGCGUUGCUGGCCUAGUCAGAAGAAGAGACAAUAACAAAAGACAUUCAAACAGCUGAGAAAAUUCUAGAAAUGCAAAAAAAGUAACCUAAAACCUUAAGAGACAAAAGAAAACCCAGAAAUUCCCACAGCCGAAUCAUCAAUUUAGUUUACAGC